UACGUAGGCAGCAAGCGUUGUUCGGAAUUACUGGGCGUAAAGGGUGUGUAGGCGGUGUUCUAAGUUUGUCGUGAAAUCUCCCGGCUUAACUGGGAGGGUGCGGCGAAAACUGGAAUGCUAGAGGAUGGGAGAGGUAAGCGGAAUUCCUGGUGUAGCGGUGAAAUGCGUAGAUAUCAGGAGGAACACCUGUGGUGUAGACAGCUUACUGGACCAUUUCUGACGCUGAGACACGAAAGCGUGGGUAGCAAACAGG
RNAcentral lists this ribosomal RNA (253 nucleotides) under uncultured bacterium. RNAcentral describes it as "partial 16S ribosomal RNA". It matches the Rfam family "Bacterial small subunit ribosomal RNA", at positions 524 to 776 of the family's 1533-position model. The record is from RNAcentral.